RNAcentral lists this ribosomal RNA (509 nucleotides) under uncultured bacterium. Its description in RNAcentral is "bacterial SSU rRNA". It matches the Rfam family "Bacterial small subunit ribosomal RNA", at positions 32 to 509 of the family's 1533-position model. The record is from RNAcentral.
AAUCAACGCUGGCGGCGUGCCUAACACAUGCAAGUCGAACGCGAAAAUCUCCUUCGGGGGAUGAGUAGAGUGGCGUACGGGUGAGUAACACGUGGGUAAUCUGCCUCGAGGUGGGGAAUAACGGCCCGAAAGGGUCGCUAAUACCGCAUAACGCAGCGGCACCGCAUGGUGACAGUUGUUAAAGGGGAGGAUCUCGAAAGAGACUUCUCGCCGCGAGAGGAGCCCGCGCCCGAUUAGCUAGUAGGUGAGGUAAUGGCUCACCUAGGCUACGAUCGGUAGCCGGCCUGAGAGGGCGGCCGGCCACACUGGCACUGAGACACGGGCCAGACUCCUACGGGAGGCAGCAGUGGGGAAUUUUGGGCAAUGGGCGAAAGCCUGACCCAGCAACGCCGCGUGGAGGACGAAAUCCCUCUGGGAUGUAAACUCCGUAAAGUCAGGGAAGAAAACCAUACGAGUAAUAUGCGUAUGGGAUGACGGUACCUGAUAUAAGCCCCGGCUAACUACGUGCC